UUUCAGAAAAAUCAAAAAUUUUCUCUCAAAAUCUCUUCUCUUCUCUUCUCGCGACGGCGCCGACUCUUCUCGGACGAAAUCGCAGCAGUGAGCAAGGGUUUCUCCGACGCCGACGAGGGCUUUUCCGGCUAGUCUUCACCCGUGCAAGGUCAUCCCGACGGAGAAGAACUUGCGGGCACAUGAGGAAGCCGAAGAUUUUGCAAGACCCGAGCCCUCCGAAAACCCUAAGGCCUAGACCUUCCUCUCCUUCGGUUGUAAGUCCAAGAACCCUCGAUAAAGGAAAAACUAAGAUAUGAAGGGAGACGACAGGAUGGUGGUGGUGAUGAAGGUGUGUGAUGUUUGGACUGUGGAGAGAUCCAGGAUUAGCUGACAAACCUGUUAAGACCUUCUAUUUAAUUCUUUUAGAUUGCCUUAAGUGUUAUUUUGAGUUGAGAUUGUAUUUAAGUUAUUCUGCACUUGUAUGUAGUUCACUUGUAUUAUUCGUGGAGUGAUGUAGUUGGUUGCUUACUAGAGUAGUUUCUUUCUUUUA
Long non-coding RNA from Zingiber officinale, 529 nucleotides. RefSeq lists it as uncharacterized. The transcript is spliced from 2 exons. The record is from RefSeq and is a predicted model, not a curated record. NCBI's taxonomy places the organism in Eukaryota, Viridiplantae, Streptophyta, Magnoliopsida, Zingiberales, Zingiberaceae.